This is a non-coding RNA of Sus scrofa (pig), 19409 nucleotides long. Lineage: Eukaryota; Metazoa; Chordata; Mammalia; Artiodactyla; Suidae. The record is from RefSeq and is a predicted model, not a curated record.
GCGGGUAUGGCCCUAAAAGGACAAAAAAAAAAAAAAAAAAAAAAAAAGAAUGGGUAGAGAGCUAUGCAAAUGGUGUUCUUUUGAAGACUAGGGGAGAUGUUCUCCCAUUAAAAACUUUCUGGUGUAACAGUCCCUGAAAUCCCACCUUUGAACAACUUCUUUGAGCCAAUCAUGCCCUCUUCUGUGCAGUUUUCAUUUAAAAUGAAGACAUUCAGUUUUCAACAAUGUAUAAAUUUCCUGGUUGGUUGGUACAUUUUUAAAUGUUUGGAUUGGACCUCAAGUUAUUAGCACAAAGCCUGAAUUAAUUUAUUCAAGGCCCUAAAGGAGGCAUUCGGCACUAGAAGAAUACAAAAAAGGAGGUGCCAAAGUCAACAUCUACCUCCACCUCAAUUUGUGUUCCUGGACUUGCAGAGCUGAGAAGGGUGAGGGUAGGGUCUCCAGGGCCCGGCCUCAGCCUUUCUUAAUGCUGACAGACAGCCUGGAGUGGGCUGCCCAUACUCGAGCCCUGCCAUCACCAUUCAGCUGAGACUUUGGCAAUGACUCCUGAAGUCUGGAGCACCAGAGAUUCUUGGAGGUAGGAGAAAACCUCCUAGUAGUUGUGGGAAAUGUAUGGUUCUACUCUUACAGCUUGCUUGCUCCCAGUUAUCUCUGAAUAAAUUCAUCUAGCUGCUCUAUGGUGCAAAAAAUGAUACUGUAGCCGCCACAGAGGAUUAGAAACUGAGAAUCUCAUUAUUUAUUCUUACAGUACAUUUUAAAAUUGCUAAGUCAAUACAUAUUCUAAAUUAAGACCAGAAAGGAAAAGCUCUUUGGGUGAAAUUCUAGGCUUGAUCAAGAAUUGAAAUUGUAUAGAGAGAUUUAGAAACAUCUGGUAAUGUGUUAUUAAUAAGCUAGCAGAAAUGAAUCAACAAUUUCAACUGAGAAACAUUAAUUUGCAUAAAACAUUCAAUAAGAAAGAAUGCAUAAUAUACAUUUUUCAUUAUAUACAAUAAUUGUGCAAUCCAAACAUUUAAAAAUGCACCAACCAACCAGGAAAUUUAUACAUUGUUGAAAACUAGAUUGAAUUUAUAAAUGAAGAGAAAAAUCUGUAUUCUUAAAACAUUAUAUUUUAUUGUAUCUUGCAAAUAAUUAUAAUAUUAGCUGCGGUACAGAAGCAGAUAACAGAAGUAAAUCAGUUCUAAGUUCUCUUGAAGUGAAACAAUUGUUCCUUUCCACUAAUAAAAAGAACAUGAAUGCACAGUUAAUAACAUAGCUCUGACCCCUAUUCAGACUUACACACUGAAACACAAGCAAAAUCUGUUUUACAAAUUGAUGUUUUAUAAGGAGCAUGUAUAUCAUUUGGUUUGCAUUCUAAAGUGGUGUUGAGCUGAAGUCAUGAAAAGACAUGGACAUGCUAUGAAGAGGUUAGCCUAGUGGCCCUGGAGGGGCUGCUCACGCCACAGCAUUCCAACUGUAUUCAGGUAUGUGGAGCAGCAACAGAGAGCCAGCUGUGCUCAUUUCUGCCUGGCUCUGCAUUCAGUCAUGCCACAGUGGUACCUUGUGAGUGGCUCUGGUGGAAGGAUUUAUUCCUAGGAAAAUGGCACAUGCUACAAAUUAGGACUUUUUUUUUUUUUUUCCUGAAGAGGUGACUGUGAAAUAUUAACAUGUAUUCUGUGUUACCAUGAGCAACUUGCGAAACCUCUUGUUCCUUUGUUUCUUCAUCUCUAAAAUGGAGGAAAAUGAUGUUUCAACCUCAAAUGAUUUUGAUGUGGUUUAAAUGAGGUAAUGUAUAGAAUUUCUUAAUAUCUAACACAUAGUUCUCAACAGAUGCUAGUUUGAUUAUAUUUGGGCCCAUGAAUGUUUUAUGUCUUCUAGUGGGGAAAUCAACCUGAUAGGUCCUUUUUGGUAAAUGAGGAUGAAUCACAACAGUUAAAUAUUUACUGAAUAUUUGUUAUGUGCCAGCCACAAUUUUAAGUACUUUCUAUAUGUUAUUAGUAAAUAUCCACCCCAACCCAAUGAGAAAGGUACUCAUUUUAUCCCCAUUUUACAGAUGGUGAAAGUCUCAUGAGACCUAGAUCAACUUGGUUCAGGGUAUUGUGUUUACAGUUGAGGAGGGAAAGAGAGAACAGUUAGAGAGACAGACUUGCCCAAGGACGCAUAUAAGCUUUUGUGUUUCCUGAUUCCAGUGCAGCCCUCUUCUUGUUUGAAAAAGAGGUAGCAAGACAGUGCCUACACUCACCUCUAAGUGGGAAAAGCACGCACACUGGAAGGGAAUCUGAAAAACAAGAAAGACAUAUCUGGUGUUUUGGGGUCUGUCUUAACCUGAGUGUUAAUUUCCCUUCUCUGGGCUAGACAGUGAGUCUUUUAGUAGCUCCAAAGAGAUGGAGUUAUAAUUGCAGCAAGAGUUGGAAGCUGAUCAAAGGGCUUCAAGGAAAGUUUUAAAGCCUUCUCAGUGGAAAUACUCAAACCUUGCAUAGAAACAAAAUGCCUUACUUUUCAGUCCUUCUGCUUGAAGGGGGAGAAGUUCUCUGUCAGCCCUCAUUCCUUCUCAAACUGGAGUUACUUCUUUAUGUUGGGCCUGAGAGUGUCUAUAUGUGUGUUUGUAUGUGCAUGUGUAUGCAUACAGGCAUGCAUGUGCACCUACAGUUAACCUCUGAAAGAAGUGUCCAGUCUCCAUGUUCCCACAACUAGAUGGGUGACCUAGUCUCAGAGCCAAGAAAGCAGAAGUUGUGACCUGAUGGCAAACUUUGGGCACAGUCUACGCUGGAGAUGAAUCUUAUUAAUCCUCACUAGGCAGUUGUCCUGGCCCAGGUAGUCUUAGUAUUUGUUAAAGUAUGGGCAAGUCUGCUCAUCAGUCCCCUAUGGGGAUGCAGGAGGCUUCCUAAACUAAGGCAUGUUCAUUCUUCCUAGUGGACAAUCUGCAGCUAUGUUGGCAGAACAAAUUCCAGUAAAUGUUGAUAUAAUUUGCUCAGGAAAGUGUAAGUUAGGAAUGUUUUCUUUUUCUUUUCUUUUUUUGAUUGAGCCCAUGGCAUAUGGAAGUUCUCAGGCCGGGGAUUAAACCCAUACCACAGCAGUGACCUGAGCUGCUUUAAUGACAGCACUGGAUACUUAACUCUCUGUACCACAAGAGAAUCCAAUAUUUUCUAUUUUUAUAGGUAGGAAAAACAUUAUAUGGUGAUUGAAAAUAGCAUGUGACACCUUGUAUAGAAAUUUGGAGUGGGUCAGGCUGAGGAGUCUUAGGCAGGAGGGAAUCUAGAGGCAGAGGAAGGAAUGGAGUGAAUGGAGAGUCCUGGGUCUGGGAGGGAAGCUAAGAUCAUUGUCUUAGAAGCAGAGCCUGAGACUGAGGUUCUUGCAUACAUGAUUUAUUGAAGUGGUGCUCUCAGAAUAAGGGGAAGAAAGCUAAGAAAGUUCUUAGCUGGAACCAAAUUUCACUAUGAUCAAGAGGAGCUGUGGGUAGCAAACUGUACCCCAAAGGUAAUUGCCAGUCAAAGCAACGGGCCAGUCUUUUGUUCCCCAGGUAGUUAAUCAUUGGUCACUGGCAUAACGUCCGAGAUGAGGCAGUUCCAUUUCGCAUGGGGCAUGUCUCUGAGAUGGGCACAGCUGUGUGUCUUUUGCAACCAACAGCCACUACAGCUAGGGUUGGGUACAUCAACGUGCUGCAAGAACUUUGAGAAGAGCAAAGCAUACCCAGAUUGGGAAUUUUGCUUGGGAAAAGUAUUGUGAGGGCCCCACUGAAAUCUUAAGUGAACAGGCAAGUUUCAGAGAGAAUGCAGCAACUGGAAUCUACUAGUGUGUGAUGGGAUCCAAGUUACCUCGGCAUUGGCAAUGGGUGGCCUGAGAUCCAUGUAGGACUCCAGACUCAGGGCUUGCUUGAUCACUUCUUCUCUCCUGUCCAAGUGCUGUCUACAAAACCCUCUUGGAGUUUGCUGGCUGCUAAAGGGAUCAUUAUUGUUUUAGGAUUUGGGAAGUCUCUGAUGUUUAGUGGGAAGGGAAACUUAGGAUGGAGUGGGGCUCAUUUUUUCCAUGGGGCUGUGGGCUCGGGGUAGUGAUGGUGCUGAUGCUGUGAGGAUAGAAUGGACAAGGGAGGAAAAAAGAUGGAGCCCAGCGUCUGGCCUUAAGAAGCUUCACCACUCUUCUCCUAAAGAGAGGCCUAACUUCCUGUCCUGGCUGAGUCCAAGUCCUGGCUUCGUAAGGCACAGCCUGGGGCAAGUUGCUUCACCUUUCUGUGCCUCUUUUUCCACCACCAAAAUGAGGGAAAAAAAUGCUUAAUCUGUGGUUACUGUGAAGAUUCUCUAAGCUCAUAUAUUUAAAGUUAACUGCAUGUAGUCAGUGCCAAUACAUCACAUCACUAUAUGAGAUAUUAUUAGAUGUUAAAGGGUUUUGCUACUAGUAAAACAUCAAAUCUCUCUCUCCCCUUCUCUCUCUCUCCUUCAGAUUAUAGUUUAAUAUCUAAACAUAAGGGAAAUUGUGAAAAAGAGAAUUUGGAAUGUCAGAGAAGAAAAGAACAGAUACUUAACAUACAUUUUUUUCUGCAUAUUUUAUUGCCAUCCUGUGUAGUAAUUUUCUUUUACUCUGCACUCUUGCAUUUGUGAAAACAAUUUUGGGGUCAUAAGAGCCCAGGAGGUGAAACAGUGUGAAGUAAGAGCUCCUUAGUUACCGUGUAAGGGGCUGGGAAAAUUUGACUUUGAAUUAGCCAGGUUAAAAUGAGCUUGUAUUUUAAUAAAAUAACAAUAAGACAGUCUAAGCAGCUGGGGAGUGGGAAUUGUUUUGAAUUACAUACUAUUUGGAGAAAAAAGAGCUGUGAUCAGAAUAACAAGGUUUUACUGUACAUCACAUAUUGUAGGAAUUCUGCUGUCUCCUAGAAAUGCUCUUUGUGUCUUCAGUCUUUUAUGAUUGUCGUGCCAUUCUGGGAGCCACUCAGUCUUUUGUGUUAUUCUAUUGUCAGCUAUAAUGAAAUAAUUGGGAUGACAAUUAUUUGCUUGUUUGGUUUUAAAAGUUUUCUGUGUUCAAUUCCAUCUAUUGUCUGCCUCAUGGUACCAUGGUGUGAUAUAUCAUGCCUGCCUAGAUUCCAAGAACAAAAAAGAUGCCCCCCCCCCAGGAGGCAUGCCUCCUUAAACAGAGUUUAAUGGAAAUACAUUAAAACUACUAUAGCGAACAUUAAAAAUAAUUGUAGCCACCCAUGUCUCAAAUAGUUUAAAUAUACAAAGAUGGUAGAUGAGGUCACAGUUUCCAUUGGAGUUUAACAGUCUAAUUUCAUAAACCUUAAAUCAAAAUAGAUAGACUGACAGCGAGAGAGGAUUUGAGAUUAGACUUAUUAGAAAACUCAGGAAACAUGGCAGCUUGAAACAUAGCAGUACAGGUUGUGCCCAACCCACCUUUGCCAUUCAGGUGGCAUGUGCUAUGGUUGUGAAAGUAGGGUCACAUCGACUACUUCUCCUUUUCUCCCCCUGCACAGAGAUGUUAGGAAAUUAACGAAGGUUCUAGCAGUGAAGGCUUAGAUAAGUACAGGGGUGGUUGCCAUUGUCACACCGGCCUGAAUGAUGUGCAUUGCUAGGGCUCCAGUGCCAUUUGGAAGAAGGUGUUUAGAAGUCAGACUUGUUUUCAAAUACCAACAUUACCACUCAUCAUUAUUUGUGUAAAAAACCAAAACAAGAAGGGAGUAGGAAAUAAUAGUUUUUGCCUCAUGGAAUUAUUGAGAGACUCAAAUGAAAUGAUACAUGUAAAGACACUAAGCCUGCAUAAUAAGUGCUCCUUAAAUAGUAACUUGUAUUUUGUGACUCCUCCAGCCCAGGCUGGCUUCUUUUAGGUGUGUCCAUCUACCAGCAUUUGUGCAUCUGCUUUAGGGUCAGAACUGUUGACUCUGGACUGUAGGGAAUGAGACUGCCUGUUUCCUUCCUUGGCUUUAUUUGGCUGACCUCUCAACUUUCUCCCUCACCUGACUCUGAGUUUCAUGGGCACAGACAGAAAAGAGCUGUUGACUGUUAGAAAUGUCCAGCAGGUGAGGGAAGAGUCUGACUCUGCAUUUUAUAAUUGAAAAAGUUGCUUAAAUUUGUCAUUUUAGAAACACAUGUGCUUAUGUAAAUACAUGCAUAUACUACACACAUUCACGUGACCAGCUCAGAUAUUGUCCAUAGGAGAACAAAAUAUCUUGAUGAAAAUGAAUAAUUCAGCUAAUCACCCAGAUGUGGUAGCUAUAUGGUGCCACACAGCUGGAUGAUCUGAAACAGCUAGCUGUUUGGUGACUUGCAAAUAAAGCAUGUAGAUAAUAGAAUCUCUCUUUUUUUCCCUCCAGAUUUUUGGCAUCACUUAGACAUAAUCUAAAUGAUAUGGCAACAUAUGGUAAAAUCUCUCACAUUCAAAGGCAUGCAAGCAGCUAGCUAACACUUUCUACUAAAAAAAUUUGCUCAUAGGUAUGUUGAUGAAUAUAAGAUUCUUACAAAGCACAUCGUUUGAAAGAAAUAUGGCAGCAAAACAAACUGCUGCAUUCAAAGCAGGGAUAUUGAAAAAUGUCAGGCAAACAUUUUUAACCUCAUGUUUGUGUGCAGUCUGGUCAAAAGAGAAUAGAUUUUCUUUUAUGGAAGUAGUUUUAAAAGGGGCUAAAAGGCAAAGAUUUAGUGUUUGCAAGAAAUCCUUCAGGUUUGCCUAAGCUUCAAGAAUUCCGUCUUUGGCAUCCAGCUAUUCUCAUUAAAUAAAUAUUUUUUUGUUUCUGAUGUGUUCUGUUUGAAGGGGCCAGUUUAAUGUUAUGCUUUGAAAUUAAUUACUAUAGAAAGUCUAUGUAAAUAUGACUGUAAAACAGAAAUCAAACUGGACAGGACACAAAGUAGAUGAGUGGGAAGCUAAAAUAAACACCACAACAUGUGAGAGGUGGAAGGUUUAAAGAGUUUUUAGAUAGUCAGUAUGUUAGUUUCAAUUUGUAGAGCCCAAUCUUUAAGUGCUCUUCUGCAAAUAAGGGAUGAUUAAAGUUAUAGAGCAAGAAGAGAAUUUAUUGCAUUGGAUUUUUCAUUCCAAGUGCAGAGCUUUAAAGAAUAAGAGAAUCUGAGAACUGGGAUGGUAAAGAACAGCUAUCCAGGGUCACAAGUGUAAAUGCCUGAGCCCAUGCAAGUAAUUCACGGGAGUGAAGCAGGACAGAAAAUAGGCAUGUAGGCACAAUUGGGCAGCUCCAGGCAAAGAGGAGAGUAUCCUGGUGCAGAUAAUCAGCUCUAGCCUAUUGCCGCCAGGCAGGAAGCUGACUCAGCAUUAAGGGCUGCUCCAACUUUUUAGGAAAACCUGGAAUUCUAGCUUUUUAUGUACUGUUUCUAAAAUGUUUAAGUUUUGAUUCAUUCAUCAGUCAGCCUAGUGAUCUCCAGCUUGCUGCUUUUCAUCUAGUCUAUCCACACAUCUUAUAGAUGUGGAAACCAGGUCCAGAGAAGUCAGUGCCCUGCUGAAAGUCCAGUUGGGCUAAGUGGCAGCACUAGAACUUGAACCCAGAUUAUCUGCCUCCAGCAUUACUUCCACAGUGAAGACAGUGUUCUACUCAUAACAGGUUUCAACAAGUGAACAAUUCCAUAGAUUCAUAAAGGUUUUAAUAAUUAAAUUCUAGUAUACCCUUGGAAAUAUCUCUAAGAUUAUUAUUUACUCAAAAAAUUUUUGUCAUUUGUCUUUCUUAUAAAAUGUCUAUUUUUUUACUUCAUUCAGCUCACUUUUUCUUUUCCUAUAUUUAAUAUUUUUUUGUUGAACAAUGUUUCCACAUUCUCUCUGCUCUAUACAUAUAUCAUCUAAAUUUCUAUAUUUGACUCUUAUUCCUUGCAAAUUUUUGUCCUUUGUCUUUCUCAUAAAAUGUCUGAAUUUUUAAAAGUUUCAUUCAGCUCAUUCUUUCUUGCAUUUAAUAUUUUUUCUUUGUUGAAAAAUGCUUCCAUAUUCUCUUUACAUAUAUAUUAUCUAAAUUUCUAUAUUCAGCUCUUACUCCUUACAACUCAGUCUCUCAAGCUCUGAAUGGAUCUUUAAUUGAUUAUAUCAGAGGGGAGAAAAUAUAAAUUUGUAAAUCUGAACAUUAUGCAACUGGAGCUAGUUAAAAGAAUGCCUCUUCCAAGAAGGAUACCACUACAUAUUCCCCAUAGAAUAUGAGGAGGAUGCCCAUCUGUCUUCAAACCUUCAGAUCUUGAAUUCAAUGCCUGUAAGAGAAGAAGUACUUAAAGAGGCAGAUGUGCAUACUCUGGCUAGGACUUCUUUGUAUGACUUCAGAUAAUUUUUGGAAAAGUUUGUGUUCAAAGGUAUAAGGUGCAGGGAAAGAAAAACUGUUCUCAGGACACAGGGGUAAAACACAGUAAGGGGUCUAUUUCUCUUGGACUCUUAGCCACACCCAUACCAUAACACCAGGCUAGGGACAGUGUUUCUCACUUUUAUUUAGACUUGAUGGGAAAAUAUGCUGUGAUUCUGUUACUAAUAGUCUCCUACAUUUGAACUGCAUGUUAGUUCCCAAAAGACUUCCACAUGUUGCUUUCUUUAUUUUAUAAUGAGAAAACUGAGACUCAGAAAGGGUGAGAUACUUACUCAAUGUCUCCAGCCAAGUCAAGGAAGAGCUAGACUAGAACUGGAUCAAUUCCAGUUCUUCUGAGCACUCUUUUAUCUUUAGGGUUGCUCUAACCAGCCUCCAUGUCAUGACAAUCCAUGUUAGAUCACCUACUGGAAUGAUUUUGUACAUUUCCCUACCCUAGGUAAAGCCGUUGUAAAGACAAUGGCUAUACAUGAAAGCAAUUAAAAAUAUUAAUAGAAGUCUCUAUCGACUGAGGGCUGUUAUGGUAGAAAAGGAAGAAACAUUUUCCUGGCUAGGAUUUUCAUACUAGCAAAUUGGCUAUUCUGACUUAAAUUCAUAUUGUUACUAAUUGGUGUUAGAAUUUGUAUUCUUGACUGUGCAUGUGCUAAGUAGAGAUUUUCCUUACUUGUUUGAUUAUGGAAUAGUGCACACAUUUUACCUUAUGAAAGAAGGAAACAGCUUGUGCUGCCUCAGGAGGAAAUAUCUCAUCUAAUAAUUAUGCUUUGAGGCAUUGGCAUAGCUAAAUGCUGACCCAUGGGCAGGCCAUGGAAAGAAUCACGGAAAAAGCAGCUUUGUUCAGGGCUUUUUCCUAACUGGAUUUAUAAAACAAAUGUCUUUAGAGUAAAGCACUGGUGAAGCAGCAAACAGGCAGAUUAUUAAAGCAUCCAUCAUGAAGUUACAAGUGGGCCCAGGAAGGGUGCCAGUCCUUCUGACAGGGAUGCCUAGCUGAAAAUUUUUUGUGAAUUAUCAAGAGUUCCCCCAAAGAAACCUCUAGGCAGGAAAAAGGAAAAGACAAAGUGACUCCUUUGCAACUCUACUUCAGUAGUUUCUGAACUGUAGCUUCAGAAACCUAUCAAGGAAAGGGUCAGUUACAUAUAGGAGGCUGAGUUUUAGAGACUGGACAACUGAAUAUUCAGGAUUAUUGUAGUGACGGUACCUUGAGCAAGGCUACUUAUAGACUGGUUUGUUCAUAUGAAUGAGAACUACAUGUUUACAAUGUCAAGUGCUUUUUCUCAUCUGAUGAAAUGAUAGAAUAUGUCUUUUUGUAUUAAUAGAUUCACUUUUUAUUUAUGGUCUGAUUAACUAUACUGUAAUUCAAUUCAGUUCCUAUAGGAAUGUACUAAAUUUUUGCUUCACCCUCAGUUUUGGCCAAAUACUAUUUGGCUUUAGCUUUGGCCUUGGCCCCAUGACCCUUAAGGCCGAGUAACCAAAUGUUCUACUUCAGUGUUGUCAAUGACAUCUCUAAAUUUGGGAUGACCAGUGAUUGAGUGAUUGUGUUAGUUAUCAUCACGUAUAAUCAGCAUAAUAAAAUCAAUAAUAGGAACAAAUUCUGUCCAUCUGAAUAAUCACAUUAAAAUACAGGUAAACAAUAUGGAAUUCCUGUUGUGGCACAGAGAAAAGAGGAAAUGAAUCUGACUAGGAUCCAUGAGGAUACAGAUUUGAUCCCUGGCCCAGCUGAGUGGGUUAAGGAUCCUAUGUGGCUGUGGCUGUGGUGUGGGCCAGUUGUUGUAGCUCCAAUUUGACCCAUAGUCUGGGAACUUCCAUAUACCACAGGUGUAGCCCUAAAAAGCAAAACAAAAACAAAACAAAAAACAAAACAAAAAAAAAACCAAACAAAAAAUAAAAUACAGUUAAACAAUCUGCAUGUAAUGUGCUUUAUGUAUUGAAGUCUCCAUUUAAAACACAAUGUAUAUCUAUUAUUGAAAGAGUAAAACAUUUCAAUUAUUGAUCAUAAAUAUUGAUAAUUUCAUAAACAAAACAGUUAAGAACCUUCAAAUAGAUAGGGCUAUAAAUUUAUGAUUAAUAUUAAUAGAUAGUAGAUUAGCUCCCUGGCUUUAAAGAUUUAUAUCCUGUUUGCACCAGCAAAUGUUUAUAGACAAAUAAAUAAUACCAAAACACAUAAGAAUAGAGACUGUAUUAUAUUAUAGUUGCCAUCUUUGUAGUGUUCUUUGUUUGCACUAGAAAAACUAAACAAAAUAAAACUUUAAGAAUGGAUUUGAUUUUUAGUUAUUUAAUUCUAUUUAAAUAAGCGUUUUUAAAAAAUAGUCCUAUUUAGGAAAUUCUUCAGUAGCAUUGUAAAAGUUAGGCUUGUUAAAUUCUAUGAUCUUCAUACAUUGAAAAUCACUCUUUGUAGGGGUACAGUUAGAUGAGUUUUGACAAAUGUAAAAUAGUCGUGUAAUCACCAUCACAAUAAAAAUGUAGACUAUAUCUGUAUUAGUUUUCUAAGGCUGCCACUACAGAAUAUGAUGGAAUAGGUGAUUUAAAAAACAGAAAUUUGUUUUCUCAGUUCUGGAGUUUGAAAGUCCAAGACCAGAAUUUCAGCAGGUUGGGUUUCUUUUGAGGCCUCUCUCCUUGACUUGCAAAUGGCAACUUCUGCUGUGUCCUUAGGUGGUCUUUCCUCUAUGUAGGCACAUCCUUGGUGCCUCUAGUGCCCAAAUUUCCUCCUCUUGUGAGGACAACAGUUGUAUUGGAUUGGGGCUUGCCAUAAUGGCCUCUUUUUAUUUUAAUUAUCUCUUUAAAGGCCCUGUCUCCAGAUACAGUCACAUUCUGAGGUACUGAAGGAUUAGGGCUCAACAUUUGUAUGGAGGGACAGUUCAGCUCAUAGCAGUUUCCAUCACCUGGGAGAGUUCUUAUACCCCUUCUAGUCAGUCCCCUUCCUGACCCCAGCCCUAGGUAACAUUGAUAUUAACCGUUGCUACAGUUUGCCUUUCCAGGAUGUCAUGUAAGUGAAAACUACAGAGCUGCUCUGAAGGAUGCUUGCUCACCACAUGGAAGUGAUGGCAUCAUUCUGGUGCAGGAAUAUCCCUAGAGCAGGACCAUUCACAUGGAGAUGGUGGGUGUAGAUCCGAGAAUUCUCAACGCCCUCUGACUUGGUUGGAUUGCUGAGCUGGACACACACACACACACACACACACACACACUCACCACAAGUAAGCAACUGUGUCAACUAUGUACCCACCUCCAGGGGUACCCAAUACAGAGCAUCCCUCCUGUUGUCAGGGCACUUGGAAGAAGGAAGGGAUGAUAAUCAGGUUGCUGGAUGAGAUGGGUUAGCUGAUUCUGGUCCAGGCAACAAAAGCCUCAUGGCCAACCUUUCUCACAAGAGUGUACAUUUCUAGGAUCUGGAGGGCUGGAUAAUCCUCCUUGGCAGCCCCUUUCCUAGAAGCCAGAGAUGUCAUCCUCCUUAAACAAGGUCUUUUCUUCAUAUAGUUUACAAGACAAUUGAUGAAAUUAUAACUUUAAUAGUAUUAAUGUCCACUGCCAUUUGCAGACCACUCAUAAUGUGACAGCUAUCAGUUUAGAUGCUUUAGGUAAGUUAUAGUGAAUCCCUAUGAUAGUAAAAUUCUUUCUCAUCCAGCUAGGCCUUGUUAAGAUGUUUUUCUCUAAUUUUGUAUGUAUGUGUUUUUCCAGUUUUGCAAAUACAUAAAUUGAAGUUUAGAGUGCUUAAGGUAUUUGCCCAAUUCCUACAUCUUUCUUACAUUCAAACUUACUUUCUGAUACUAACAACCUAAUGUGGUAAUUGAACCUCCUAAAUGUUCUCAAUGUUUAUUUGAAGAGCUAUCAGGAAAAUCAUCUUCAGUAGUGCUGCCCUGAGCCUAUGAGGAGAAAGAGCAUGAAGGGCGAGAUGCUAAUGAUGAUAAGUAAUAAACAUAAAAUCAUUUCCUGUCUCUUUUCUAGAGCAGAUUACAACAAACAAGGUGUUUUAAAAUUCAUAGUCUCAUUUUAUCCUCUCAGCACAGCUUAUAUUUGGUCUUUCUAAAGGAAACGCUCUGAUAUGGGUUCAUAAAACCACAGUCCUACAGAACUGAAAGAUACGUGAAAAAUUUUUUCUUUAAUGUCUAACAUUUCAGAGAGAAAUAUAUUAGCCUAAAGGCCAUGGAAUUAAUAAAAAUUUUUUUUUAAUUUAAACAAAUGAAGAAGCUGAAGCCAGGAAAAUUACCAUAACUUGAUCAGAGUCAUAGAAAGGAAUUCUGGCUGCCUGAUCGCAGAUUUACUUCUUGCUCUUUGCCUCUACCCUACCUCUCAGAAGUAGAGUCAGGUGAUAUUCUCAUUGUUACAGUUACAUUUUUUUUUUCCUGGCAUAAGCCAGGGGUGACAUAUGGGAUUCAUUUUAUGUUCCAACUUGAAUCCCUUUGAAAUGGUUACCAAAAAGCACUAUGUUGACCAGGCUUUUGAAUGCACAUUAGGGUUUAAUGGGACAGAGUGUCAUAAUUGAUUACUGAUGUCUGUAGAGGGUUUAGGUUGAGGAUAAUGGCAGCACUCUCAGUUAAGUCAUUGCCACCUCAGACAUUUUCUUUUUUUUUUUUUUUAAGAAACAAAGAAUAAAUUAUACAUCACCAUUAACUACUUGUGGUAAAUAAAUCUUAUUAGCGAUUAGUAACUACUGGAGAUAGGUGAGAUUUGAAGAAAAACCUAUGGAACUGGCACUUGGGGUUGCUUAUAGAGGGCAGGCUCAGCUGGGGAGCUGCAGAGGUGGUAGGUGGGAGUCUGGGCCAGCAGAAUGAUCAGUGCAGAAUGAGUGCCUUGGACAUCUAUAGCAGAGCUAUGGCUAACACCAAGAGGCAGAAAGGAUUCAGAAAGCAGAAGUUGGAAGGCACUAGGAUGACCAACUGUCCCAGUUUAUUUGGGAUGAAGGACUUUCAGUUUUAAAACAGACAAUCCUGGAUGAACUGGGAGGAUUAGCCACCCUAGAAAGGCACUAACAAAAAUGUUGGAUAUGUCAUAGUUAAAGGGGAACACGCCAUUGGUCAGUGUAUUAAUGAGCUAUUGCUAUAAUGCUACAAAACAACUCCUAAUUCUUUGUGGCUUACAACUACAAAUAUUUCUCUUUUUUGGCUUUGUAUACUUGUUGUAGUUUAGCUGAUUAAGGUUGGGCUCAGGUGGGUUCUAGUUUGAGAGCUGACUGCAGUCUCCUCUGUAUGCUUGUCACUCUCUUUGAACUUGAGGUCUUUAGAGUUUUGCAAAUACAUAAAUUGAAGUUUAGAGUGCUUAAGGUAUUUGCCCAAUUCCUACAUCUUUCUUACAUUCAAACUUACUUUCUGAUACUAACAACCUAAUGUGGUAAUUGAACCUCCUAAAUGUUCUCAAUGUUUAUUUGAAGAGCUAUCAGGAAAAUCUGAUAAUCUGAUAAUCUGAUAAUCUGAAAUCUGUAAUUUCAUAAACAAAACAGUUAAGAACCUUCAAAUAGAUAGGGCUAUAAAUUUAUGAUUAAUAUUAAUAGAUAGUAGAUUAGCUCCCUGGCUUUAAAGAUUUAUAUCCUGUUUGCACCAGCAAAUGUUUAUAGACAAAUAAAUAAUACCAAAACACAUAAGAAUAGAGACUGUAUUAUAUUAUAGUUGCCAUCUUUGUAGUGUUCUUUGUUUGCAUUAGAAAAACUAAACAAAAUAAAACUUUAAGAAUGGGAUCAGUGCAGAAUGAGUGCCUUGGACAUCUAUAGCAGAGCUAUGGCUAACACUAAAGUUCCAUUGGCUUAAGCAAGUUGUGUGGCCAGACCCAACACUAAUUGGGUGGAGAAAUAUAUUCCAUGUUCUCUGAUGCCAUAUUCUUGCUUGGUCAUGUGGCACAGUGUGUGGAUGGGUAUUCCUUCUAUAAGGAAGGAGUGAGGAGUAGGAACAGUAUUCAGUCUAUGAAGUCAGGAAGUAAUUUAAGUGUUCAGACUCCAAGAAAUGUAUCUGCAUUUCCCCAGUGUUGGCAUACUAGGUGCCCCAUAUCUGUCUGACGAAUGAAUAACUCUAAAACAAGAUUUUCUAUAAAAAAGUGAUACAUGUUCCCACUUUUUAAAACAGUCAUUUGGCCCCUUUGUCAUUAGAUAUUAGGAGCCUUCUGAGGGCUCUUGUAGAUCAGAUGGCUAAAUGGCUGUUAGGAAAUCUUUUUUCCUCUGACGUACUGUGAUGCCUGGUCUGUGAGAAUUUUUUUCCCCCUCAGUGUUUCUUAUCCUCCAGGUAUGAGGGGUUGGUCUCCUUCCCUUAAGAGGAAGACAUAAUGCCCUGCGUAUGGGUGUUAAUUGCCCUUGAUUUCUUCUGUCCUCUCCAACUCUCUUCCUCGGCACCUCACCCUUCACUGGUCGGCAUAUUCCUGGCUGUGCCAAAAAUAUUUCUUGACUUGAAAAUGAGGCCUGUGAUUUUAAAACUUGUAUGUUUCAGAAUUAAAUGCAGAUAUUACCGGCACCCUCCCUUCCUCCACCUCUCUGUCCCCAUAGUCAGUGUGUGAGUGUGUGUGUGGAGUGGAUUUGCUGAAAUCAUUUUAAAUGUUUCUGUGAUCCUAGCACUGAAUUUCCAGUUUUGGAUACUUUUGGAUUUUUUUUUGAUAAGCAGUGUAAAAAACAGCUAGAUGAAGGGAAAAAUACAGGAAAAGUUAGCUUAAUAUUAGAUGAUCCUGCAUGAAAACCGAGCCUUCUCUGGCACACAAAGGAGUUCAGAAACCUCUCUUUUCCUUAGCAAGCACUCAGGUGUUCUUUUAUAUUUAGGAUCCAAAGUACCCAGGAAAGAGUCACAGAGCACCUUGGGUCAAACCUGGCUUUCAGCUCUGAAGACUUCCAACAAAGAAGUCUGAGAUCGUUGCAUAGCAGAAGCCACGGUUUCCUUUCAAGCCAGAAAAUUUAUUCAGAAGCUCAAAACGAAGCCACAGGACUGAACCAGCUGUGCUCCCUGUAUAGGCACAGGGCACCGCCAUUUACUCCUUUUUUACACAAAGUUGAAGGAACACAGCUGAAAACAGGGGUCUAUUCCUAUUUAAAAGAAACAUGUUCCUGAAGAGAACUAGCUAUGUCAUAAAUUUCAUCAUGUAGAAUUGUACUUUUUCACUGACUUCAAUAAAACAGUGGAAAAGACUUUCCAAAAAGAAAAAAAGUGUGGCCUCUACAUGCUAUAAUACAUGACAGACUGAGAGACUGGGAGGAAAUAGGAUGUUAGUAACACUUAAAGAAAUUACAAAUUAUAAAGGCUUUAACUGGAUGUUGAUCCAUGGAAGUUGAUUUGUGACAUAUUGCUGACAGGUAUUAAAGUCCCAGAAUGAAAUUGGGGUGGGGUCGACUCAGGGAUUUGCCUUCCUUCCAUUGAGGUGUUAUAGAGUUGUAUUUCUCCUUCCUCAUGCUGCCUUCCUCUCCUCUUUACCUCUCCUUGUUCUAGACGUACAUUGAGAGAAAAUUUCUAAGAGCUCUUUUUAGAGCUUCUGGCCUUUUUCCUAUCCUUAGACCUUGAGGAAUAUAAUGCAUUCCUGUCAUUACCAGUAACUCACUGUGUCUGAUUUUUCACUGGGCUGAAUGUCUACAGGGGUUCCUGUAUAGUUAGGAAAGAUGAACUUCCCUUCCCCCACCUCAUGUGAUCACUGUUUGUGAUAAAUUAUUUACUGUUUUUUUCUACUGUCUCUGUUCUCUGAUUAACUUGGUCAGUCACUCUUUAUGCCUCAGUUUCUUCCACUGUAAAGUGGAUAUAGUGAUACUUGCUCUACGUAAAUGGAUGGUAGUUCUGUCUCCUGCACAGCAAUUGGAAAAGUGUGGGAUGUUGUUUGGGUUGUUACAAGGGCUGGGUAGCUACUGGUAUUAGGAGUGGGGUGGGGGUAAGGUUGUGAAAUUGCCUGCAAUGCACAGGACAGUCCCACAUAAUAACUGAUUGUACCCAAAGUGAGAAGCAUUGCAAACAAAUAUGAACAUUCUGUGAAAAGUCUAAAAUGGCAUGUGAAUGCAAAGAGAGUCCAUUGCUCAUAUCACUGUCCCAUUAUUCCUGAGAGUACUGUGCUGCUGCUUUGAAGAGCUGCUGCCUUGUGAUGAGACUGGCUUCAGCUAUGCUCUUACCAUCUGCAAGAGGGAAACUCUUUCUUGCUAUUUAUUGUGAGACUGGAGGAUUCAUCUUCAAUUCAUCUAAGCCUGCUUAAGAAAAUACUACUACUUGUAAAUUAAUCAUCAUGGAUAAAAAUAACUAUUCUUAAAUGAGCCCUUACUCUUUUGUGGGAACAGAACCAUGAAAUUUUCAUGCUUUAACCUAUUUAUUCUUCACAGCAAACCCUGAAGAAGAUGAUAGGAUUAUCUAGCACAGAGAUGAGGAAAUUUUGGCUACCAAAGCUCGCAAACUUCAUUUUGAAUUAAGAACCAGAACUUCAAGGCAUGGUGAUGGUGGCUCAUUGCUUGGAUGAGUGCAUUUGCAAAAGUGGAGAGCAGAGACAUGAGGUAAAAUGGAGAGUCCUGACAAAAGCAAUUGGCAAAGGCACGGUUUACAAUAAACGAGAAUCUUGGAAUUUUAUGGCCAAAUUAUGCAGACUUUUCCAUAAAGAGUAAGUCAAAGCAGAUCAGAUAACUGGCUCACAAUUAACAGUGACAAAGAGCAGCAUUGUUCCCCUUCUGUGUUGCCCCUUAUGUGGGUUCCCCAUGGGUGUCCAUGGUGGAAAAGACUUUGGACUGUUGGAAAUGAGAGGAGGAAUGGACUGGGUGUGAAGAGAGGAGGACCACAUUGUUCAGCCCCCAUUGAGGACUUCAUUCUUGUUGCCUGGCUUCCCAAGUUCCCCUGAAUGUGCUGGAGUCAGAGAGGGUGCUGCAAAGAUACUUAGUUGGACCCUAGCAAAUUAAAAUGAUUAGUUCUGUCAUUACCAGAACUUUGGGCAACAAUAAAGGGACUCAAGGCCUGGCCGCUACAAGGGAAAAUACUCUCUAGUAAAAGGAAGAAAGUCUUAUAGUAUAAUCCCUAUGAUUUUGCAUCUAGAGUUUCAAACAGUGAUGUGCUUGAGACCUGAAAGACUCAAAGGUAUUCAUGUACCCACACAAAUGUGUACUUUGGGGGAUUUGGCCUAACCUUGAUUUGUGAGAUUUUGGUCAGUCCAACAUUCCAGCCCUGGCCUGGACCUCUGCCUCUGUGUCCUGGUAGGUUUCCACCUGGAUCCAUUCUGCCUCCUUUCAUUUCUGGCGUAACCCUGUUGUUUUCCAGUCCAGAACCCAAUGUGGUCCUUGCAAAUCAGAGUGCCAUAUGGAGAGGGAAGGAGGUAACAUUGAGCCAUCUCAUUUGUCCUCACAGCAUUCGUUUGAGGUAGGAAAGGGCAGGAAUUAAAAAUGGCAUUAUAGAGGGCCUUUACACAGUGAAGCAAUAAGAAAUCGAGGACCAGCAUCAGGGGAUGGUGGUUGACUGGGGACAAAAACCCCAGACUUCUAGUAACCUAUCUUAGACUGUUGGACUAGAUAAAGUAGCUAGCAUACAACAGGGAAACAGAAAAGCUCUGUUAAUAGUUUAAUUUUUUUAAUUAAAAAAAUUGUAUAAUCAGUAGACCACAUCUCAGCUAAAAUUAAUGGGCAAAUAAAACCUUUUUCUCUCUUGGUGGCAUUUGUCAGGUCAGAUUUUUUUUUUCCCCCAAAUAUCCUGCUUGGUCAAAAGCAUCUGGAAGAGCAGCCAAUCCAUUUCUCACUGUUUCCCUUUAGUUUUGACAAAAUAGACUCACAAACUGAGAAUGUGCAUGCCACCUCUGAGAACAUUAUUGCUUGGGUCCCCAAGUCUGCCAGAGCUGCCUUACAGCACUGAGCCAGCUCUGUCUGCUCAAGAUCAGUGCUCAUCUGGGUGCCACAAAGCUCUGCCAGAGGCCAGGGAAGGUUCUUAAUACAAAUGUCAGGAAACCCAGUCCACCAACCCAGGCUCCAUCCCCAAGUACCCAGCUCAAGUGUGCUAUAAAGAUUCCUGGGGUGGGACUAUUUGCUUGUAGAAAUAUUGCUGGCACAAAAGACACAGUGCCAAGAUUUUAGGAUCCUUAUAUAGCUCAUGUCUAUUAUAAUGGUCUUGGAUCUCUUCCUCUUGUUACUGUCUCUCCCUAGAAGCCUCUUACCUUGAACCUCUUGAUGGCAGAACAUUGUAAUGGAAAGAAACAAUCUUUGGACUGGGAGUUCUGACACUUAGGUUCUUUUUGAUGGAUUUAGUAUCUUUUUUCAUUGUUAAGCUAUUUGUCUGGUAGGGUGAGAGAUGUUUUCCUGAUUUUAUUUUGGGGAAUUUCAUUCUUAAUCAAAAACAUUUGUCCUAGCCUCAAGGAACUUCAAAUCUAACUUAAGGGAAAAAGUCAUACGUCAUUAUUCUUCAGUUACUUAAGAAAUUAAUAUUUGCAAAAUGUCUUUUGGGUGGUCAGUGGAAAGGUGGUUUUCUUCCUGCCAAGUUAAUCCAAUUUCAGUGACUUUUUUUUUCUUUUUUUAAACUCUACUGAAUCACCUUGUUUUGUCUUUGUGGCACAGCCAUUGUUAUUUGUAGGUUUUCAGAGUCAAGGGGACUUGAAGUUUGGUUCUUUUUGUAGAUAAGGUCAUUUAAGUCCAGAUACAUUACUGCAUUUGCAGGUGUAUAAGAUACAUCUUUACCUAAAUGUAUCAAAAACUUAUUAUGAGUCAUGGUUACUGCCAGAAGGAAGAUGUAAAUACUGAAUUUGCUUUAGAGCAGUUAUGUCAUUUAAAAAGAAAAUGCAUUAUUUUGUUUAUAAAGCUAUAGUAUAAUGCAUUUCCAGUAGAAAAUUAGAAGUUGAGAGUAUAUAAAAAUAUGUAAUCUGAAAAAGGUAAGUUUUGAAGAAUAGUUGUGGUCAUGCAUGCAAUAUCUUAUCACUGUUAAUAAAUAUGUGGUGAAAGUACAGAAAAUGCCCCCUUUCCCCCAAUUCUUCAGUGAAACUAUACAUACACCCUGCACACAAGCAAAUACGUUCAAUGACCUUUUAAAAUCUGACAUAAAUGUUCUUUGCAAACACUGGGGGCCCCUUCAGAAAGAGUCGCUUGUAAACAAUUUUCAGAACUGCUAAAAGGAUUUCAAAGGUUUUUUUUUUUCUCCUUUAACAGAGAAAGCCAUGUGAGAAGAGGAGGAGCAGGCGGGGGUGGGCAGUGUCAGAGAUAAGAACUACUGCUGCUAGAACCCCACGCCCAGUGGCUGGUUAGUGACUCAUGUUGGAGGGCAAUUGAGAGAAGCUCAGCUGGUGUCUU